RNAcentral lists this ribosomal RNA (273 nucleotides) under Staphylococcus aureus. RNAcentral's name for it is "partial 16S ribosomal RNA". It matches the Rfam family "Bacterial small subunit ribosomal RNA", at positions 1 to 262 of the family's 1533-position model. Lineage: Bacteria; Bacillati; Bacillota; Bacilli; Caryophanales; Staphylococcaceae. The record is from RNAcentral.
UUUUAUGGAGAGUUUGAUCCUGGCUCAGGAUGAACGCUGGCGGCGUGCCUAAUACAUGCAAGUCGAGCGAACGGACGAGAAGCUUGCUUCUCUGAUGUUAGCGGCGGACGGGUGAGUAACACGUGGAUAACCUACCUAUAAGACUGGGAUAACUUCGGGAAACCGGAGCUAAUACCGGAUAAUAUUUUGAACCGCAUGGUUCAAAAGUGAAAGACGGUCUUGCUGUCACUUAUAGAUGGAUCCGCGCUGCAUUAGCUAGUUGGUAAGGUAACG